This 487-nucleotide ribosomal RNA is filed under the name uncultured bacterium. RNAcentral's name for it is "bacterial SSU rRNA". It matches the Rfam family "Bacterial small subunit ribosomal RNA", at positions 28 to 507 of the family's 1533-position model. The record is from RNAcentral.
GACGAACGCUGGCGGCGUGGAUUAGGCAUGCAAGUCGAACGGUAGGAUACCUUCGGGUAUCUGAGAGUGGCAACGGGUGAGUAACACGUAGGUGAUCUACCCUCAAGAUUGGGACAACCCAGGGAAACUUGGGCUAAUACCGGAUGAAAGCAGCAGUGAUGUUGUUUGAAAGGUGGCGUAAGCUGCCGUUUGGGGAUGAGCCUGCGCUCUAUUAGUUAGUUGGCGGGGUAAAGGCCCACCAAGGCGAUGAUAGAUAGGCGGCCUUAACGGGUGGUCGCCCACACUGGGAUUGAGAUACGGCCCAGACUCCUACGGGAGGCAGCAGUCGAGAAUAGUCUACAAUGGCCGAAAGGCUGAUAGUGCGACGCCGCGUGAACGAAGAAGCCCUUCGGGGUGUAAAGUUCUUUUAUAUGUGAGCAGUGCUUUCUAUGUGAACAGCAUGGGGAGAGAGAUAUUAGCAUAUGAAUAAGCAACGGCUAACUCCGUG